GUUCGAUUCUGGCUCAGAUUGAACGCUGGCGGGAUGCUUUACAUGCAAGUCGAACGGCAGCACGGACUUCGGUCUGGUGGCGAGUGGCGAACGGGUGAGUAAUGUAUCGGAACGUGCCUAGUGGCGGUGCUACGCGGCGUAGCUAAUGCCAUACGCCCUUCGGGGAAAGCGGGGGACCGAUUCGGGCCUCGCACUAUUAGAAACGGCCGAUAUCGGAUUAGCUAGUUGGUGGGGCGCGGCUCGCAAGGCGAUCCGUAGCUGGUUUGAAGGGGACGACCAGCCACGCCAGGACUGAGACAGCCCAGACUCCUACGGAGAGCAGCAGUGGGGGUACACUGGACAAUGGGGAAACCCUGAUCCAGCCAUCCCGCGUGUGCGAUGAAGGCCUUCAGGUUGUAAGCCCACUUUUUGGCAGGAAAAACGGCACGGGGGAUAGUACCCCGUGCAACUGACGGUACCUGCAGAGCCGGCACCGGCUAACUACGUGCCCAGCAGCCACAUGACGUGGCGCAUGCGGGUACAGGGGUAAUCGGAAUUACUGGGCGUAAAGCGUGCGCAGGCGGUUCGGAGAGAAGAUGCCAGAAAUCCCAGAGCUUAACUUUGGAACUGCAUUUUUAACUACCGAGCUGAAAUUAUGUCGGGGAGGUGGAAUUCCCGCGUGUAGCAGUGAAAUGCAUCGAUAUGCGGAGGAACACCGAUGGCGAAGGCAGCCUCCUGGGGAUACUGACGCUCAUGCACGAAAGCGUGGGGAGCAAACGGGAUGAAUGCCUGGUAGUCCACGCCUAAACGAUGUCAACUAGCUGUUGGGGCCUUCGGGCGCUGAUGACGCAGCUAACGCGUAGAAGUUGACCGCCUGGGAAUACAGUCCUCGAAUUCAAACUCAAAGGAAUUGACGGGGACCCGCACAAGCGGUGGAUGAUGUGGAUUAAUUCGAUGCAACGCGAAAAGCCUUUUUCCCUUGACAUGUCUGGAAUCCCGAAGAGAUUUGGAGUGCUCGCAAGAAGAACCGGAACACAGGUGCUGCACUGGCCUGUCGUCAGCUCGUGUCGUGAGAUGUUGGGUUAAGUCCGCAACGGGCGCAACCCUUGUCAUUAGUUGCUACGAAAGGGCACUCCUAAUGAGACUGCUGCCGGUGACAAACUGGAGGAAGGUGGGGAUGACGUCAGAGUCCUCAUGGCCCUUAUGGUAGGGCUUCACACGUCAUACAAUGGUCGGGACAGAGGGUCGCCAACCCGCGAGGGGGAAUAAUCCCAGAAACCCGAUCGUAGUCCGGAUCGCAGUCUGCAACUCGACUGCGUGAAGUCAGAAUCGCUAGUAAUCGCCCGGAUCAGCAUGUCGCGGUGAAAUACGUUCCCGGGUCUUGUAUGCCGUCACCUGCAGGAGUGGGUUUUGCAAGAAGCAGUUAGCCUAACCGUAAGGAGGCGAUUACCACGGUAGGAUUCAUGACUGGGGUGAAGUCGUAAGCAAGGUAG
RNAcentral lists this ribosomal RNA (1472 nucleotides) under uncultured Bordetella sp. RNAcentral describes it as "partial 16S-23S ribosomal RNA intergenic spacer". It matches the Rfam family "Bacterial small subunit ribosomal RNA". Lineage: Bacteria; Pseudomonadati; Pseudomonadota; Betaproteobacteria; Burkholderiales; Alcaligenaceae. The record is from RNAcentral.